RNAcentral lists this transfer RNA (72 nucleotides) under Heterocephalus glaber (naked mole-rat). It matches the Rfam family "tRNA". Rfam says of the family: Transfer RNA (tRNA) molecules are approximately 80 nucleotides in length. Their secondary structure includes four short double-helical elements and three loops (D, anti-codon, and T loops). Further hydrogen bonds mediate the characteristic L-shaped molecular structure. tRNAs have two regions of fundamental functional importance: the anti-codon, which is responsible for specific mRNA codon recognition, and the 3' end, to which the tRNAs corresponding amino acid is attached (by aminoacyl-tRNA synthetases). tRNAs cope with the degeneracy of the genetic code in two manners: having more than one tRNA (with a specific anti-codon) for a particular amino acid; and 'wobble' base-pairing, i.e. permitting non-standard base-pairing at the 3rd anti-codon position. Lineage: Eukaryota; Metazoa; Chordata; Mammalia; Rodentia; Bathyergidae. The record is from Rfam by way of RNAcentral.
AAAAGUGUAGCUUAGUGGUAGAGCAUCUGUCUAAUAAAACCAAAGCCCUAGGUUUGAACCCUAGCACUUCUC